GCACAGUAGGCAAAAACGGAGAGGGGAGAGAGAGAAACCGAGAAGAACGAGGAAGAAAAAGAGAAAGAAAAGGAGAAAAAGAAGAAGAAAAGAAAGAAAGGAAGGAGGAAAGAAAGGAGAAGAAGAAGGGAAAGAGGUAGUUCAAUGUUUAUCUUCAUUUUUCCUUCCCUUUAUUUUCUUCAAGAUGUAGAUAAAUUUUAUGUUAAGUUGCUAGGGUUUAAUUUGUGGCUAAAAUUUCAUAUUUAUGCAAGAUGAGUACAAAUUGGAGUUCAAGUUUGUUGAUUAUUUAAUUUCCAAUUUCAUUAAGGUAAGAAUACUAAUUUUUGGCAAACCCUAGAUUUUUAUCUGGGAUUCUUAAUUAUGAAAUGUUAGUGGGAAUGAUUAUAUUGAUGGAAAACUCUCACGAAACCAUGAAUUUGAGAAACAAGAUGAAAAAUUAAAAUAGGUGGAAUUAUGGUUACUAGUUUUCAUUAGUUGGAAGGUACAAUUAUUUUUAUGAAUGAGAUGAAGGUAAAUUUGUAUGUAGUGUAUAUUUUGAAGGUAUUAGAAAGCAGAAUUAGCUCUUAUUGAUUAAAGGAAAAUUUGGGAAAAUUAUUCAAAGUAUCGAGAAUUCAAGUUUUAGUAUUCGACUAUUAAUAUUAAGAAAU
This 647-nucleotide long non-coding RNA is filed under the name Olea europaea (common olive). Its description in RNAcentral is "long non-coding RNA (OEUR_LNC009410)". Lineage: Eukaryota; Viridiplantae; Streptophyta; Magnoliopsida; Lamiales; Oleaceae. The record is from RNAcentral.